Long non-coding RNA from Hyaena hyaena (striped hyena), 3403 nucleotides. RefSeq lists it as uncharacterized. NCBI's taxonomy places the organism in Eukaryota, Metazoa, Chordata, Mammalia, Carnivora, Hyaenidae. The transcript is spliced from 3 exons. The record is from RefSeq and is a predicted model, not a curated record.
UCCAAUCUGUCAAGUGGGGAGGUGCGUUUCUUCCUUACCGGGUGGCGUGGAGAGGCGACAGGUUGUCCCUCUGACCACAGGGAGCGGGAGCGGAAUGCGGGCUUUCUCCCUGGGCAGAUGGUUCCCUGAGCCUCAGCUUCCCAGUCUCUAGGUGGGGUCAGCAGUGGGUGUCUCACGGGGUGCUGCAGGGUUAGGUGGGAUGCUGCCCCCGAGCGCCUAGCAUCGAGUCAGUGCUCCGUCAGUGGCAUUUACUGUGAUGGCUCCGGGAGGGAUCCCCAUCCUGUGGCACCCUGCAGGGACCCGGCGGGCGGCGGGCUGGGCCCCCAGGUCUGGGAGGUGUGGCCAGAGCUGGCGACGGCUGGGCCUGUCCGCUCCAUGCAGGGCACUUCUCGCAGCUCCCCGGAGGCGGGCGCAGGUGCCACAUCGAUGAGCCAUGCCCCUCUGAUGCGCCUGACAUUUCCUGCCUGCCUUUCCCGGCCUGACUGGGUCAGCGGCCACACUGAGUCACAGCCGCGGCCCCUGGCUGCCUGCCGCCCCAGGGCGCAGGGUGGAGGGAGCCGGCUCUGCAGGGUCCCCCUCCCGACAUGGGGAGGGGCUGGCUCCUUCUCUCUAUUCCUGUUUUCAAACUUUACAAGUCAUUUCUUGUUUAACAUGCUGAUUGUUGUUAUCCUAACGUCACGAGAACCCUUGGGAUGCUUUGACCGGACUGACCGGCUGCACACGUCACUGCGUGUUUACUGCGACACAGGUGAAGGGCUCCUCUGGAGAGACUGGGAGUCCAGAAUAAUUUCAUCCCGGAGAACAUCUGCCUCCUUUUUCUCUCUAAACAUGAUUUGAGCCUCCGUUUUCUCCUCUGUAACGUGAAGAUUAUCCCCUCGCACAGUGCUGGAUGCAGGGAGAAGCUGAUGAAAUAGCACACGUGGGAUUAUGGUCAGCAACCACAGCCUCAGAGCGGGUGCUCGGCUAACAGGGCUGGUAUCAGGUAGGUGCUCAGCUAACGCCUGCAGCUGGUUUGCUGAAUGGGCGCGACCUGAAGUCAGGAAGCCUGCCCCUGCCUGCCGGCCGCCGCCCGGGAUUUCUCCAGGUGGCCGGGGUGGAAAGGCCCGAGCGUGGCAGUCCUGGGCCGGAGGCGCUCUCAGAGCCCAGCGGGACACGGGCUCCCAAACCGCUUCCGCCACAGAAUCCCCUGUUCAGAUGAACAAAGCCCAGUAGAAGCCCAGUACGCAAACAGGUAAAAAGGGGCUGGUCGGUGGCAGCACGAGGUGAAGGGCUCAGAGACCCACCUCGAUCACCUAGUUGGCGUUCAGGCCGGGGGGGGCAGCCCUGGCCCCCAUCCUGUCCCCACGGAGCUGCUGUGAACCCAGCAUUCCAGUGCGGAACCAGACUCAGAAGAGGAGCUGUCACACAGGAGGAAGCUAAUUGCUCAGGAAACACAAGGAGCCUUUCGCUUUCUCUGGGCCUCAGUUUCCUCCUCUGUAAUAGGAGGGACAGGUAGAUGGAUCACCCCCAGUUUGGAGGGCUUUUGGCUGGAGCUCCAGUAACACAUGGUGCAAGCGCCACCUAGUGGCGAGAAGGGGCUAUGGCAGCCAGGGCUGUUAGCAGGGGACGCCCCCUCCCAUCCCCCUUCCCGCUAGGGCGAUGCCUUGGGAUGCAGGCGUUAAGAGGUGACCACUAUCCCCCCCCCGCCCCCACUAGCCAGUCCCCCUCCCCUCUGAGGAUCCCAGCAUCUCCACCUACAACCCUGAGGGGCUGGGGCCAAGGCGGGCUCUCCACAUGCGGUCCAGGGAUCCGAGGCAGGGGAUUCUGUGAAAUCCCUGAAAUUGUAAGAAAAGUGUGUGUGUGUGUGUGUGCGCACGCGCGUGUGAAGGUCUCAGCCCUGCUCUCUGAAGGGCUUACUUUCUUGGAGAGGUCUCCUGGGAGCCCUUGCUCUAGAUGAACCACAAGGGCAUCCAGAGCUCCUGAAUUCUAGAAGCUUCCUCUAGAAGCUGGAGUGUGUGCACGUUCAAACAACCCAGAAGGCCCAUGUUGCCAAUGCAUCCAGUCUGCCAGUGAUGUGGGGAAAGACUGAGGAAGCCAAGGACAAAUGAAAGGCAGUACCUGCUGGUGCUGGAGGAGACGCAGCUCAGCCCCCAGGCGUCUGAGGCUGGGGGACCGUCACGUGGACGCCCUCCACUCCCGCCUGGAGCAGGGCCUCCGUAUUGACCUUCCACCGCCCCCGCGUUGAUGUGACGAGGGCGAGGGGCGGUGGGGCCCCGGCAACGCCACUGUGAGAGCUCAGUGACUCUGACUCCCUGGAAUCCGGGGUCCGGGAUGCUCACUCCCUGCAUGGGGAGCCCCACCCAGAGUCCAGGUGACCCCAACAGGGGGUGACUCAGAACACAGUGGGGCAGGUUUAGCCACUUCCAGAGGCCCAGAGGGCCUGGGUUCCAAAGAGCUUUCUGUGCAGGACACUGGCUGCACCUUCCAGGCUCAGUUUCCUCACAGUGGCCCUGCUUGCCCAUUGGGAGAGGGGCCUCUCAUGGGGCAAGGAAGGUGUUUCCCCUGGGUCUCAGCCUCGGCAUGCCUGUCACCAAAUCCUCCCCGGAGCACACGCAGCUUCCCGAGAACCCGCAGCUGUGGGCAGGCUGGGGGCAGCGUGCAGGCAGAAGCCGUAGUGCAAACAGGCGUGCGGAAGCAGCCAGCGUGUGCCGCAGAUGCCCACCCACCGGGAGCCACGUGUGAACGUGCUUACAGGGCACCUAGCUUCUUAGCAGAAGGCAGUGGUUUCCGGCUGGGAGGUCAGGAGCUCUCGGGGCAGGGUGGCCUGGGGACGGGCAGUCUUCUAAGCUCCCAGGUGACCCGUGCCGUCUGAGAACCGCUGCUUGAAGGGCUGAUGUCAGGGUGCCCGGUUGGAUCCGUCUGGAGAGGCUGGGUCGUGCAGCAGCGGCUGAUCCGUCCCGGGGUCGCUGCCGGGGCUUUGGCCACACUGCCUGUCCAGUGGCCACAGGGAUGGCGCCCCGCAGUCCCACCAGGCUCUUCUGUGUUUGGGGCUGGAAGUGGCCGGUGUCACUCCCCUGCGCCCCUGCAGAGCUGGUCACGCAGCCCCCCCUCCCCAUGGCCGGGCAGGGGCUGGGGUGUUGACCAGCAGCGCCUUCGAGUGCAGGCCCCCAUCACCCGCUCGGGGCCCCAGAGCUGUCAUUGUGGUCACUUUCUGGCUGCCACACAUUCCACUGAGGUUUCCCAAAAAUGGGUGUUUUUACUGUGGUCACUUUUGUGUCCAGCCUGUCAUCGCAGGACUUGCGCGGCCUGGCGGGGACACCGACAAGCGGCGGCCCGAGUCCCUCUUGCCGCUUUUGUUUCAUGACUGUCUUGGUUUUCUCCCCAGUGCAUUUGUUUUCCCCCAAAUUGCAAAUAAAAAAAUUGU